Phalacrocorax carbo (great cormorant) is the source of this 82-nucleotide small nucleolar RNA. It matches the Rfam family "Small nucleolar RNA SNORD45". From Rfam's summary of the family: U45 belongs to the C/D class of snoRNA which contain the C (UGAUGA) and D (CUGA) box motifs. Most of the members of the box C/D family function in directing site-specific 2'-O-methylation of substrate RNAs. The record is from Rfam. NCBI's taxonomy places the organism in Eukaryota, Metazoa, Chordata, Aves, Suliformes, Phalacrocoracidae.
GAUCUGGGAUGGGUGUUGGCAUGUAUUAUCUGAGCAUAAAUCUAAGAUGGUCAGUUUAGCUCUAGAAUGACUCUGAGACCUG